Molecule: ribosomal RNA, 899 nt
Filed under: uncultured bacterium
Lineage: Bacteria
Description: bacterial SSU rRNA
Rfam family: Bacterial small subunit ribosomal RNA
Source: RNAcentral
ACGCUGGCGGCGUGCCUAAUACAUGCAAGUAGAACGCUGAAGGAGGAGCUUGCUUCUCUGGAUGAGUUGCGAACGGGUGAGUAACGCGUAGGUAACCUGCCUGGUAGCGGGGGAUAACUAUUGGAAACGACAGCUAAUACCGCAUAACAGUAGAUGUUGCAUGACAUUUGCUUAAAAGGUGCAAUUGCAUCACUACCAGAUGGACCUGCGUUGUAUUAGCUAGUUGGUGGGGUAACGGCUCACCAAGGCGACGAUACAUAGCCGACCUGAGAGGGUGAUCGGCCACACUGGGACUGAGACACGGCCCAGACUCCUACGGGAGGCAGCAGUAGGGAAUCUUCGGCAAUGGACGGAAGUCUGACCGAGCAACGCCGCGUGAGUGAAGAAGGUUUUCGGAUCGUAAAGCUCUGUUGUAAGAGAAGAACAGGUGUGAGAGUGGAAAGUUCACACUGUGACGGUAUCUUACCAGAAAGGGACGGCUAACUACGUGCCAGCAGCCGCGGUAAUACGUAGGUCCCGAGCGUUGUCCGGAUUUAUUGGGCGUAAAGCGAGCGCAGGCGGUUAGAUAAGUCUGAAGUUAAAGGCUGUGGCUUAACCAUAGUACGCUUUGGAAACUGUUUAACUUGAGUGCAAGAGGGGAGAGUGGAAUUCCAUGUGUAGCGGUGAAAUGCGUAGAUAUAUGGAGGAACACCGGUGGCGAAAGCGGCUCUCUGGCUUGUAACUGACGCUGAGGCUCGAAAGCGUGGGGAGCAAACAGGAUUAGAUACCCCUGGUAGUCCACGCCGUAAACGAUGAGUGCUAGGUGUUAGACCCUUUCCGGGGUUUAGUGCCGCAGCUAACGCAUUAAGCACUCCGCCUGGGGAGUACGACCGCAAGGUUGAAACUCAAAGGAAUUGACG